CUGGACGAUACAGGGAAGAUUAGCAUGACCCCUGCUCAAGGAUGACAUGCAAAUACAUGAAACAUUCCAUGUUUUU
This 76-nucleotide small nuclear RNA is filed under the name Castor canadensis (American beaver). The record is from RNAcentral. Lineage: Eukaryota; Metazoa; Chordata; Mammalia; Rodentia; Castoridae.